UACGGAGGAGGCAAGCGUUAUCCGGAAUUAUUGGGCGUAAAGCGUCCGCAGGUGGCACCUCAAGUCUGCUGUCAAAGACCGGGGCUUAACCCCAGAAAGGCAGUGGAAACUGAAGUGCUAGAGUGCAGUAGGGGUAGAGGGAAUUCCCGGUGUAGCGGUGAAAUGCGUAGAGAUCGGGAAGAACACCGGUGGCGAAAGCGCUCUGCUAGGCCGCAACUGACACUGAGGGACGAAAGCUAGGGGAGCGAAUGGG
Molecule: ribosomal RNA, 253 nt
Filed under: uncultured bacterium
Lineage: Bacteria
Description: partial 16S ribosomal RNA
Rfam family: Bacterial small subunit ribosomal RNA
Source: RNAcentral